This 468-nucleotide ribosomal RNA is filed under the name uncultured bacterium. RNAcentral's name for it is "partial 16S ribosomal RNA". It matches the Rfam family "Bacterial small subunit ribosomal RNA", at positions 28 to 507 of the family's 1533-position model. The record is from RNAcentral.
GAUGAACGCUGGCGGCGUGCUUAACACAUGCAAGUCGAACGGAAAGGCCGAAGCUUGCUUCGGUACUCGAGUGGCGAACGGGUGAGUAACACGUGGGUGAUCUGCCCUGUACUUCGGGAUAAGCUUGGGAAACUGGGUCUAAUACCGGAUAUGACUAUCUCUUGGAUGGGGUUGUGGAAAGCUUUUGCGGUAUGGGAUGAGCUCGCGGCCUAUCAGCUUGUUGGUGGGGUAAUGGCCUACCAAGGCGUCGACGGGUAGCCGGCCUGAGAGGGUGUACGGCCACAUUGGGAAUGAGAUACGGCACAGACUCCUACGGGAGGCAGCAGUGGGGAAUAUUGCACAAUGGGCGCAAGCCUGAUGCAGCGACGCCGCGUGGGGGAUGACGGCCUUAGGGUUGUAAACUCCUUUCGCAAUCGACGAAGCCUUUUGGUGACGGUAGGUUGAGAAGAGGCACCGGCUAACUACGUG